AACGAACGCUGGCGGCAGGCCUAACACAUGCAAGUCGAACGCCGUAGCAAUACGGAGUGGCAGACGGGUGAGUAACGCGUGGGAACGUGCCCUUUGGUUCGGAAUAACCCAGGGAAACUUGGGCUAAUACCGGAUACGUCCGAAAGGAGAAAGAUUUAUCGCCGAAGGAUCGGCCCGCGUCGGAUUAGCUAGUUGGUGGGGUAAUGGCCUACCAAGGCGACGAUCCGUAGCUGGUCUGAGAGGAUGAUCAGCCACACUGGGACUGAGACACGGCCCAGAUUCCUACGGGAGGCAGCAGUGGGGAAUAUUGGACAAUGGGCGAAAGCCUGAUCCAGCCAUGCCGCGUGAGUGAAGAAGGCCUUAGGGUUGUAAAGCUCUUUCAGCGGGGAAGAUAAUGACGGUACCCGCAGAAGAAGCCCCGGCUAACUUCGUGCCAGCAGCCGCGGUAAUACGAAGGGGGCUAGCGUUGUUCGGAUUUACUGGGCGUAAAGCGCGCGUAGGCGGGUCGCUAAGUCAGGGGUG
RNAcentral lists this ribosomal RNA (522 nucleotides) under uncultured bacterium. RNAcentral's name for it is "bacterial SSU rRNA". It matches the Rfam family "Bacterial small subunit ribosomal RNA", at positions 28 to 596 of the family's 1533-position model. The record is from RNAcentral.